This is a long non-coding RNA of Lutzomyia longipalpis, 1738 nucleotides long. RefSeq lists it as uncharacterized. Lineage: Eukaryota; Metazoa; Arthropoda; Insecta; Diptera; Psychodidae. The record is from RefSeq and is a predicted model, not a curated record. The transcript has 2 exons.
CUAUGUGCCCCGGUAGAGAAACCCUUCUACCGUAAUAAUACGUUGAGCUGUGGCACUAUGUGUGUCUAGGGUUGGACUGCUCUGGGUGAAAGAGUGAGAUGAGUCGUUAGCUCUAUGCCGCUCAUCAGGCACUCAUAGGUAUCAGUAGCCCACUGUUGCUCGUCCGAUUCAGUUCGGGACCCGUUAGCUCUCUAAUUAAGGGUACUUAAUAGCCCAUGUAGGAAUAUCGUCCUACAUAUCAGAAGUGGGAUAGGGUCCGCGUGUGCCACUGCGUGUGGAAAACCGUGAAAAUCACGGCGCGAGUGAGGAAAAAAGUGGAAAAUUGCGGAGAGGACAACGCAGAGGGCAGCGAGAGCAACAUGGCCGCCACCGUGUGGAGAAAAAAAUGCGGCGUAGAAGCAGCGAAAAGCGGCUAGAUGGGACUGCGAAGACCAUCGAGAAGCGCCCCAGCAACUGUGUGGAGGAGCACCCAGCGAUGGAAGUACCGCAAGUACCCCUAAGUGCCCCCCAGGAAAAGAAAUAAAGAGAGAAAAAAAUUGAGUUUCUUUGAGCUUUGACAUUUUUUUAUGGAAUUCUGAGAAAUUUUUGGCAAUUCCAGAAAUUUCUUUGUGUUAACCCUUUUGUGUAUUCUCUGUGUGAAUGGUGGCCACCCGCACAAAAUAAUUAUCUGUGUUGAGAACAUGUCUUAACAAGAAUUCCUUUUCAGGCGAUAUAUGAAAAUUCUUGAUCAUAUUUUAUGCUAAAUUACAUAGAAAAAUUCAUGAGAAAAAAUGCGAAUUUGUAGAAGUGUUUCAUACGAAAGUGAAAUUAGCCGUGUUUCAUGAAACAAGUUUCGACGAGAUUGAGAAACACGAAAUGUUUUGUUGGAAUUUGACCACAUCGUGACAUUUCGGUCGUGCCGAUUGAAUGUUCGGAUAUUGUGUCAUAUUUUUGUUAUUUAUUUGCGUCGUUUGAGUUUUCAAGGUAUUUGUGAGGAAAUUCAAGAAAAAUUUCAAUAAAUUGCGCAAAGAAAUCGCAGCAGAGAAACACAAAGUCGAGAAGGCAAAACACCACGGUUGCCAUGCCCAUGGGAACAAAGAAGCUAAGCGCAAUAAUUGAGCGAUUUGAUCCAGAUUUGACCGACUGCAUUGACACAGAAGAUUGGCUUGUAGAAGUUGAAAAGGCACGUUUAUGUAUCAUUGGGAAGAGAGAGUGAGAAUUCUAUGUGCUGUGCAUCCAUGAGAUUGAGAGGGCAGCUGAAAAAUGAAUCCGUAGAGCCAAAGCGAGGCUGGAUACGUGGCAAAAUUUCGUGAUUAAUUGUUGCAAUUCUUUCCUACCGUUGUGGAUUUAAGGACAUCAUUGUUGACACAAACUUUCGAAUCUCUCCCGCAACUUCUCCGCGUACUAAUUGAUGUGGAACAAAACAUUGAACGUAGACGAUUCCAAGUGCAAUUAUGGGUAGAAUUCAGGGCGAUACCAUCCGUACUGCCAUGGUAAGAAGAAUGACAAUGUGAAGCACACAAGGAAGCCAAAAAAGGAGAGAGAGCAGAAAACCACCGAAGAUCGACGAAUGCUCUGAGAAACUGUACUAUAGGUGCAAGAAGCCCGGAAAUUUGAUUGUUCAAUGGCCACAAUCAGUAACUAAUUCCAAUGAAUUCCAAGCAGAUGAUAAUUAAAUUGAAUUUGUGUAAAUAAAGAAUCUUAAGCCCACUGAGUGUAGUAAAGUGUGAGAUCAAAUAAAAGAAAUUACAGAAAGGCA